GAUGAACGCUGGCGGCGUGCCUAAUACAUGCAAGUCGAGCGAACGGACGAGAAGCUUGCUUUUCUGAUGUUAGCGGCGGACGGGUGAGUAACACGUGGAUAACCUACCUAUAAGACUGGGAUAACUUCGGGAAACCGGAGCUAAUACCGGAUAAUAUUUUGAACCGCAUGGUUCAAAAGUGAAAGACGGUCUUGCUGUCACUUAUAGAUGGAUCCGCGCUGCAUUAGCUAGUUGGUAAGGUAACGGCUUACCAAGGCAACGAUGCAUAGCCGACCUGAGAGGGUGAUCGGCCACACUGGAACUGAGACACGGUCCAGACUCCUACGGGAGGCAGCAGUAGGGAAUCUUCCGCAAUGGGCGAAAGCCUGACGGAGCAACGCUGCGUGAGUGAUGAAGGUCUUCGGAUCGUAAAACUCUGUUAUUAGGGAAGAACAUAUGUGUAAGUAACUGUGCACAUCUUGACGGUACCUAAUCAGAAAGCCACGGCUAACUACGUG
Molecule: ribosomal RNA, 497 nt
Filed under: uncultured bacterium
Lineage: Bacteria
Description: partial 16S ribosomal RNA
Rfam family: Bacterial small subunit ribosomal RNA
Source: RNAcentral